This 421-nucleotide ribosomal RNA is filed under the name uncultured bacterium. Its description in RNAcentral is "bacterial SSU rRNA". It matches the Rfam family "Bacterial small subunit ribosomal RNA", at positions 355 to 773 of the family's 1533-position model. The record is from RNAcentral.
UAAGGAAUAUUGGACAAUGCCCGCAAGGGUGAUCCAGCCAUGCCGCGUGCAGGAAGAAGGCCCUAUGGGUCGUAAACUGCUUUUAUACAAGAGAAAACCCCGGUACGUGUACUGGGCUGAUAGUAUUGUAGGAAUAAGCAUCGGCUAACUUCGUGCCAGCAGCCGCGGUAAGACGAAGGAGGCAAGCGUUAUCCGGAUUCAUUGGGUUUAAAGGGCGCGUAGGCGGCCUUAUAAGUCAGUGGUGAAAUCUCUCGGCUUAACCGAGAAAUUGCCAUUGAUACUGUAGGGCUUGAGUACAGUUGCCGUUGGCGGAAUAUGACAUGUAGUGGUGAAAUACAUAGAGAUGUCAUAGAACACCGAUUGCGAAGGCAGCUAACGAAGCUGUAACUGACGCUGAGGCUCGAAAGUGCGGGGAUCAAAC